AGAGUUUGAUCAUGGCUCAGAACGUACGCUGGCGGCACGCCUAACACAUGCAAGUCGAACGAAGUAGCAAUACUUAGUGGCAGACGGGUGAGUAACAUGUAGGUAUCUGCCCUUUGGCCUGGAAUAACACGAGGAAACUUGUGCUAAUACCGGAUAAGUCUUUACGGAGAAAGCUUUAUGCACCAUUGGAUGAGCCUGCACUUGAUUAGUUUGUUGGUGGGGUAAUGGCCUACCAAGACUGUGAUCAAUAGCUGAUUUGAGAGGAUGAUCAGCCACAUUGGGACUGAGACACGGCCCAAACUCCUACGGGAGGCAGCAGUGGGGAAUCUUGCACAA
RNAcentral lists this ribosomal RNA (336 nucleotides) under uncultured bacterium. RNAcentral's name for it is "bacterial SSU rRNA". It matches the Rfam family "Bacterial small subunit ribosomal RNA", at positions 8 to 371 of the family's 1533-position model. The record is from RNAcentral.